CCACGCGGCCCUUGCACGCCGGCCCUCUCCUCCCCACACGGACCCGAUCCACCUCCUCCUCACAAAUCCCGUUCCAAAUCCUCCUCACAAAUCCGAAACGAUCUGCCUCCUACUCCUCCGAGACGAUCAAGCAGCGGCAGGAUCACACGUUCCUCCACGAUCCUCGCACGAUCCGUCUCCUCUGUAUCCAAUAUGCCACCGCACACCCUCCACCGCUCCACAUAUGUGCUCUUCUCUUUUGCCCAGCCCAAGCCCAAGUGCCCAACUGCCCCUUCGUUUCCAGUACAGGAGACUCCCCCGAUCCCGAUCCGCCAGCACCCUACAGCGCCGUGCCCUCGCCGGAGAGUCUCCUCUCUCGCAUGCCGGCGCCACUAACCCCACGCCCUGGCCCAAGCCACCUCACCUUCCAUGGUCCGUGCUCAAGCAACGCAUCCUGCUGCGAGGUGCGGGGAGCCAGCGGCGGCCGGUCAGCCGCAGGGGGACACAAUCGUGGAAAGAGGCGGGGCGGCUCGCGGACGAUUAGCUGCGCCUAUACAGAGCAAACAGAGACUGCGGCUCCUGUCGGCCCCGCGUGGUGGUGCAGAGGCGAUUUGGGGCUGCCCAUCCCCAGGGCGGCUGGCAGUGGCGGCGUCGGGAGGCUGCAGCGCUGGUGAGCAGCGGGGGUGGCACAGAGGCGAUUUGCGGCGGCCUAACGCAACCGGCAACAGCGGCGUGUGGGAAAAAUCAUAGGGGGAGCAUCAGCUGCAACGGAUUGGUCGCGGGGCAUGAGCUCGGAGCAGAAGGUGCCGCCAUGCGGCGCAGCAAGCCCUCUGGUGCCGUCGCCAAGCUCCCCUCGCCGCCGUUCGUCGCCUCAACCCGGCGCCCUAUCCUGCUGCUCCCGUCCUCCACCUCACCGGCGGUGCCUCCCCUUGCUCCCGCGCCGUCGACCUCCCCUCUGCCUCGCUCACCCCACCUCUGUUCCCCGUGCGUGCCGCCCUCCAGCGCCGCCGCAGCUCCACCCUUCGGCCCACCAACCCCAUCUCCACCCUUCGGCCCAGACCACAACCCAGCAAGCCCGAGCCAGCCCAGCUGUUAAAUAAAUAUCACAUCCUGAAUUCUUCGUUGUUAUACAUGGAAUUAUUCUUAUUUUGUGCACAUGGUCAGAUUUUCUAUUUGUAAUAUAUAUGCACAUGUGUAGCUGACUGCAAUAUAUUUAGAGUGGGCCAAAUGGCAAGUCCGAGAAGUCGAAUCGAGAGCAACAGGUGGUAUGGGAUAAACAGAAGACGGAGAGGAGGGUGCCUCAGUGCCUUGUCUUCUCGAUGAAAUAGAGCAGUCAGGUAAAAGACAUCGCUUUUGAAAAAUUAAGCAUGUUUUUCAAUGUGUUUUGUUCUUCCGUAGCAACGCACGGGCCUUUUUUUAGUAUCUUUUAAAAAUGAAAAGAAAACGUAAAUUUUCUAGUCGUCUAUUCAACACACACACACCCAGCGGAGUGCGAACACAUCGAUAUGGUAAGUUUCCCUUUGAAGGUUAAAAUCUUCGUCUGGAAAGCAACUCUUGCUUAUAGCUAUGUAGGGCAUCGCCAGUGCCCAGGCUCCCCUGUUAACUCCCUUUAAAACAAAGGAACCAUGAUGAUAAAAUUAACACAUUUUAUGGGCAAACCAUGGCUUAGAUGAAGGAAUAUAUUUUGCCCAAGCUGCAUUAAUCGGCGGGCUCCGCCAAUGUAGCUAUACUCCUAGCUGUGAGUGCUCAAUGUCCAGCGUGCCCUAAUGAUGUUUGCCACUUCCGUCAUGUUCUAUUUACUUGCUCGAGUGGCCCGGGAAAGCUUUAUGGGAAGCGCUCGGCGCACGGGACCGUAUUGCUCGGAGUACCCAUGUUGAAUGGAUCGACAGUUCUUGAAGAAGAGCUACUAGGUGGAGUCAAUCUCGGAAGGUUUAUGUGAAUCCAAUAUCUAAUGGAGAACUGGCAGCAGUGGCUUGUUGGUAUGUAUAUUUGGUGGGAAACGAGACAAGUGCGACAGGGAGAAUCGAUUCAGCUGCCGGGUCCGUCAGCCAUGGCAAUUCAAGCACUGGCCACGAUUAUUUUCGGGCUUACUCUAAAUCUAACAGCAUUAACCGCCAUGGCUGGCAGCACCCUCCUCAAUGCAUGCGGAAACUGAACAUCGAUGCAUCUUUUGAUAGUGAUUGAGAAGAUGGCGCGUGCGACGGGAGCGGAUCAUUAGUCUAUAAUCCACAUAAGACAAAAUUUGAAAUUGUUGGACAAAUUAGUCUAUAAUUGUACAGUUGCAGGUUUUUUUUUGAAAGUCUUCUACUAAGCUAGGGAAGUGCUUCUACUAACGUACGCCCACUCGUCCCACCACCAACUGCAAUUUAAUAGACUCGCGAAAGAAAAGAAGGGUUGCGAGAAGUGGUAAAAGCUAUAAGCUGAUUGGGCGAACCUGAUUAUCAUCAUAGUUUACAAGACGCGGUGCGUCUAUUUCGUGAAAGCCUUCGUACUGAAAUUCAAGCGUAACGAACAACAUAGGCACCGUGACAUUUUAAGACAGAAUAUGUGGGAGAUUAGUGCGUAUGUAUUCCCUAAUUAAGAUCAUUACACCGUGCAUACUAUACGUAGAUACAGAAUACCGGAUUUAGUAACACAUGAUUUAAUAUACCUGUGUGUGAUCUGCUAUACAAUAUAUACCAGCCCGUAUACAUUACGGAUCAAUUUCUUGUUCAUCCAUAGCAUAAUCUCUACAUAAAUACAUACAUACAUAUAUAUCUAUAUAUAUAUAUAUAUAUAUUCAUGUAUUUGUAUAGCAAUUAAACUCUGCUCUCCAUCAGUUGUUGGUGGUGUUGGCCAAUGCCGG
This 2824-nucleotide long non-coding RNA is filed under the name Brachypodium distachyon (stiff brome). Its description in RNAcentral is "long non-coding RNA (BDIS_LNC002501)". The record is from RNAcentral. Lineage: Eukaryota; Viridiplantae; Streptophyta; Magnoliopsida; Poales; Poaceae.